Otolemur garnettii (small-eared galago) is the source of this 289-nucleotide non-coding RNA. Lineage: Eukaryota; Metazoa; Chordata; Mammalia; Primates; Galagidae. The record is from Rfam.
GCUGGAUGCAGUGGCACGCACCUAUAGUCCCAGCUACUUGGAAGGCUGAGACAGGAGGAUCGCUUAAGUCCAGUUCUGGGCUGUAGUGUGCUAUGCUGGUGUCCACACUAAGCUUACCAUCAAUAUGGUGACCUCCCAGGAGCAGGGGGCCACCAGGUUGCCUAAGGAGGAGUGAACUGGCCCAGGUUGGAAAUGGAGCAGGUCAAAACUCCUGUGCUGAUCAGUACUUUUGCGCCUGUGAAUAGCCACUGCACUCUGGCCUGGGCAACAUAGCAAGACCCUGUCUCUG